Molecule: non-coding RNA, 2941 nt
Organism: Cyanistes caeruleus (blue tit)
Lineage: Eukaryota; Metazoa; Chordata; Aves; Passeriformes; Paridae
Source: RefSeq, a predicted model, not a curated record
UCACAUUUUUCCCCCCUCUAAUCACACAAAGAGUUUAGGCUAAAAAAAGCAGUCCCUGGUAGGAAGGAGAGGGAGGGAGUGGGUACCCACAGCUGUGCCUGCUGCUGCCAGGGAGUUUGUUUUCCACUCUUGUAUUGAUGGGGAUGCUCCCACCAUUGUGGUGCCAGAUUCUCACAAAUGCCCUGUUUUGCAAAUUAAGGAGGAGAGAUCUUGGGCUUUAAGGGUUGUGUUUUAAAUAUUUCCCUUUCUUUUUCUCCUGAGGGAGGGAGGCUGUGGUGGAAGGCAGCACAUUUCAAAUGGUCUGGCUGAUGCCCGUGGAGGAGCGCUCUGCUAACAGGAGAAUUUCUCUGCGUGGAAUCGUUGGUCAACGGGGAGAAGCUUCCACUGAACGCUGGAAAUGUCUCACUGCCAAAACUGCAUUUCCCUGAGCCAUGGUCCUCGUGCUGGCACUUGGAGGGGUGGAAUUUUAUUUUCCCACCCUCGGACUGGGUUUGCAACUCCUGGUAUCCAAAGUGAACCUUCACUUCAGUAGGACUGAGUUAUCUCCAGGGAAUAAAGGAAAAAGGUGAACCUGGAAGGGAAUGUUGCUGUUUCCAAGUCAAACAGCAGCAAGAGGACAAUGACAGGGCCUCAAGGUCUGUCCCAGGGGUCACCCUGACUUGGGCAUUCCCUGGCUCCUUGGGGAAUCUGUGGUGUAGGAAGAGUUCAGUCAUUCCAAGGAUUGCUGUGAAGGAUGACUGGACAAUUCUUCCUCGCGCCAAAGACAACUCUGCAGCCCUUCCCUGUCUCUAAGCUGGAUCUUCACCUCUGCCUGGUGCCUUCCACGGGGGCAGGACCAUCCUUCAGCCUGGGCUGGAGCUCCUUUCCCUGCAGGACACCCUGGCCUCUACAUGGGAGCUCCCACAAUUCGUGUUACCUGGUUUCUCCUUCGGCAUUCCAUGAGCGGCGCCCUAGGAGCUCCUCCCCUCCGCACAGUCGUGCUCCCGAUGAGAGUUGAGAGCGGGGCUUUCAUCAAUUAUUCACUGCUCUGAAGAUGUAAGAACUUAUCUCAGGGCGAAUUGGUGUUUCUCCUCACUCCUCAGAAGCAGGAGUCGGGAAACUUGCGCACCUCAGCCGGGAGCAGACGGGAGCUCCGCUCUCAUUCAAGGGAAGGAAAAAUCCACCUGCAGCAAACCCUCCUCGCGUGUGGGAAUGAGUUCAGCAGCACCCCAGGCUUAUAAAUAGGGAUGGUGGAAAGAUCCAUCAUCUUUUCCAAAAUGUUCUGUAGUCCCUUAUGAAUGUUGCAAAAGAUUCACAAAUUCUGAGUGCUGCACAGAGUGGCAAAAAUUAACAUCUCCGAGAAUGUCAUUGAGAUGGGCAGAUGUCUCCCCCCAGCCCCAGUAGGCUCGACUUUGAUGAGACUGGCUUAAAAAGGAAAUUUUAAACCUCUCCAAACCUACAGGAAAAACGUGAUGCCAGUGGUGAAUUUGCUGCAAAUUCACCUGUUCUCCUGUGGAUCAAAACACGUUGGAAUAGAGUGAAAAACACUGCUUUAUACCCCAUUAAGUUUAUUAUGCUCUGCAUCCCUGAAUUUCUGCGUCUCCCGAGCGGCUGGAUGGAGGAAUUCUUUGGAUAAGACCGGGAUUUGGGUUUUUAGUUUUUCUCCUGUCUCCAGACAGAGAAAUCUCCAGCAAAUUUGUGAUCUUGUGCAGGAGAGAUCCUGGAGACCACUUCAAGCACCAGAGGUAGAAUUGUUUGGAGACGAUUUUUCCAGAGGCAUGAGGAUCCUUGCUGAUAAGGAAAAUAAAAGUUGAUUUCAGCAGUUGGAGAAAGUGUAUGGUUGAGAAAGACACGCAUAAUCUGUUUCUCUACUGCCUCAAAUGGUUUCUGACCAAGGGUACUUGGCAAUUAAUGCAGGCAAAGGGAGGCAAAAAUGUGAAUUAUUUCUUCUGUUCAACGGCCAGGGGAUGUGGUAUGUACUUGAACAAGGGUUGUGCAUGGUCAGCACCUGAAAUCCAGAUUUCAAACUCAUCUGUGGACUUUUAUAAAAAGAAAAAAAGAGGAGGAAACUUUCCUCCUUUUGUUUUUCCAGCUUUUUCAUAUCUUCCUUUUCCUGAGCUCUGCCUUCUCUGGAACACAAUUUUGCUCUCUUCCCCUGUGUCUGAUCUCCCUGGCUGGCUCAUAUUAAUUCCCUGUUUUGGGGCAGGAGUUCUGUAUUUUAUAUCAGGUUAGAAAUUAAACAAGCUGACAUUUACUCCCACUGCCUAGACAAGUCAUGAAAUUCCCAAGUUUUAACUGCAGUCUCCUGGGCCAUCUCCCAGCACAGCAGGCUCCAGUGCCCAAUUUAGGCUGUUUUCAGGAGCCAGGUUAGCCCUGUGCUAAUUUGGGUUAGAUGUUCCAGCAAAUUUCCAUGGGAUCCAUCAAGAGCUUGUUAAACUCUGAUUAGUUACACCCACUUGUGACUCUGCCCACGCAGACCUCAGCCAAAUAACAAAACUGAAUUUAUCAUAAAAAAAAAAAAAUCCUCAGAUGGUCAAGCUGACCAUUCUGAAGAACUUAUUUAUCAGCUUUUGGUUUUCAGCUCCCUGAAAAUCAGUGGAAUCAGAAGGAGCAGCUUGGCCGUGCCCACAGCAAAUGAGGGGAUAGAGAAAGAGAGCAGAGGUUUGAAGGAAGGUUUGUAAGAAACACGGAAAGACACAAAACAUGGGCUCUGAAGAAACAGGUGGAGCUGUGUUUUCCUUCUCCAGGGGAUUUUCAGAGCUGUAGGAACAAUGCACAUUUUCCUGUCUCUGGGUACAAAGCUUUAUCUCCAUUAACCUUCUGCUGGAGCCCCUGAGCAGAGGAUGCUCCAUCCCUCCACCUCUGCUACUCCAUCCAGCAGCUCUCCUCAGCAACAUUUGCUUUCCCUCUGGCUUCUCCUCACCUCCUGAGACAAAACUCCCACAUGUUCCUUUCCAUGUCU